GUAAAGGCUCACCAAGGCGACGAUCCGUAACUGGUCUGAGAGGAUGAUCAGUCACACUGGAACUGAGACACGGUCCAGACUCCUACGGGAGGCAGCAGUGGGGAAUAUUGGACAAUGGGCGAAAGCCUGAUCCAGCCAUGCCGCGUGUGUGAAGAAGGUCUUCGGAUUGUAAAGCACUUUAAGUUGGGAGGAAGGGCAGUAAGUUAAUACCUUGCUGUUUUGACGUUACCAACAGAAUAAGCACCGGCUAACUUCGUGCCAGCAGCCGCGGUAAUACGAAGGGUGCAAGCGUUAAUCGGAAUUACUGGGCGUAAAGCGCGCGUAGGUGGUUCGUUAAGUUGGAUGUGAAAGCCCCGGGCUCAACCUGGGAACUGCAUCCAAAACUGGCGAGCUAGAGUAUGGCAGAGGGUGGUGGAAUUUCCUGUGUAGCGGUGAAAUGCGUAGAUAUAGGAAGGAACACCAGUGGCGAAGGCGACCACCUGGGCUAAUACUGACACUGAGGUGCGAAAGCGUGGGGAGCAA
RNAcentral lists this ribosomal RNA (522 nucleotides) under uncultured Pseudomonadales bacterium. RNAcentral describes it as "bacterial SSU rRNA". It matches the Rfam family "Bacterial small subunit ribosomal RNA", at positions 257 to 771 of the family's 1533-position model. Lineage: Bacteria; Pseudomonadati; Pseudomonadota; Gammaproteobacteria; Pseudomonadales. The record is from RNAcentral.